Molecule: long non-coding RNA, 2881 nt
Filed under: Homo sapiens (human)
Lineage: Eukaryota; Metazoa; Chordata; Mammalia; Primates; Hominidae
Description: PREDICTED lncRNA (TCONS_00251179)
Source: RNAcentral
GCUAAGGCUCCUCCCCGACGAACCCCAUUCCUGCUUUCCCGCUCAAAUGUUGCAUUUUCUAAGACCUCCCUGGCCCGCCAUACGCCGAUCCUGAACCUACGAAAACCCAAGACUGCGGGCACGGUGGCUCAUGCCUGUAAUCCCAGCACUUUGGGAGGCCGAGGCGGGCAGAUCACGAGGUCAAGAAGUCGAGACCAGCCUUGCUAACAUGGCGAAACCCUGACUCUACUGAAAAUACAAAAAUUAGCUGGGCGUGAUGGCGUGCGCGCCUGUAGUCCCAGCUGCUCGGGAGGCUGAGGUAGGAGAAUCGCUUCAAUCCGGGAGGUGGAGGUUGCGGUAAGCAGAGAUUGCGCCACUGCACUCUAGCCUGGCGACAGAGACUCCUUCAAAAACAACAACAACAACAACAACAACAACAAAACAAAACCUCCCAAGACCCUAGUGGGCAGACACACAGCCAGCCAGACAUGGAGAGGAGCACAUUAGCAGAAGAAGACGCAAGUGGCUGGUCCUCGAGAGGACGUUGAGAGGAGCAUGCCAGCAGAAGAGCACACAACGACAGGCACCGACACACCACCGGCAGGCCAUGCACCAGCAGAAUGAUGCGGAGUUUGACGGGGCAGUCAGAGAAGAGCCUGGGCCGCCAAGGGGCCCGACUCCAGGGGAAAACCAUCUCCCUUCUGGCUCCCCCAUCUGCUGAGAGCUACUUCUACUCAAUAAAACCUUGCACUCAUUCUCCAAGCCCACGUGUAAUCCGAUUCUUCAGUGUCACCUCCCAAAUGUGGAAAUGCAUUGUCUUUCUUCUUUCCUAGACCAGUGGUCCUCAAACUUGAGCAGGUUUAAGCAUGGUCAUAGCAGAAUCAAUGUGCUCACCCCAUCAUGAAAAAAAAAAUGUGUUAAUGAAUUGAUUACUACUUUGAGUGUGCCAUAUUUUAAAGACGAAGAGAAACUAAUCAAGUUAGUUUUUAUUUGGUCAGAGGCUUGUUUGUGCCUGCUUAUCUAAAGUUAUAAAGGCCCCAAAUAUGGCUCCGUGUUGCAGAGGGACUGUCUCUUCUUAUAUCGACAGAGCCCAUAUUCACAAUGUAUCACACUUACCUCGAUGUAUUGUCUGGAGUUUCCUAGGCUGUGUCCUUUGCCUGGAAUGCUCUCUCUUGCUGGCUGGCUUCUUCCCACCAGCUGUGGCCAGGGCUGCUCCUUAUUCCUUCGUCAAAACUCCGUCUGCUGGGUGUGGUGCCUCACACCUGUAAUCCCAGCACUUUGAGAGGCCAAGGUGGGAGUAUCGUUUGAGCCCAGGAGUUCAAGACAAGCCUGGACAACAGAGCAAGACCCUGUCUCUACCAAAGAAAAGAAAAGAAAAGAAAAGAAACAGCCACUUUCUCUUCCAUGAGCCAGUUUAUGUUUUCUUCACGGCAUUUGUUACAAAUAUGAAAUUGAAAAUUCAGCCAAUAAAACUGUGCUAAAAAGUUUGACACUAAGAAAAAGAAAGGCCCCUCUCCUGGUGAGUUUCACUGUGAGAUGGCUGGAAAUGUUGAUUGGUGGAUCUGUGUUUGUUCGUUAGUUUGGGGCCUGGACACUGAGAGUUAAGUCCACUUAGAGAUGUCAGGGAACCCAUACUUUUGGUUAAAAGCCAAAAGGGAAUGUGGGGAGGGAGUUACGGACUGAAAUAGGCGGUAGGGUUUUCUCCCUGUGUGUCCCCCUUUCUCUGUCCCUUGUUUGGUUUAUGCAUAGAUUUUUGUUGUGUAUCCUUCAAUCCCUUCCACAUUACCCUUCUCUCUUUCACCCUUAAACUGAGAUUUAGAACUAAAAUGAGAGUUUACGAAGGUACUGGCUAUAAUUAUUUUAUUUACUAUUUAUUAAUUUUUUUGAGACAGGAUUUCUCUCUGUUGCCCAGGCUGGAGUACAGUGGUGCAAUCAUGGCUCACUGCAACUUUGAGCUCCCAGGCUCAUGCAAUUCUGCCACCUGUGCCUCCUGAGUAGCUGGGACGACAGGCACAUGCCACCAUGCCCAGCUAAUCUUUUUACUUUUUGUAGAAAUAGGGUCUCACUAUGUUGCCUAGGCCGGCCUUGGACUCCUGGGCUCAAGCAAUUCUCAUGCCUCAACCUCCCAAAGUGCUAGGAUUACAGGUGUGAACCACCGCGCCUGGCCUAUAAUUAUGAAAAAAAACCCCACUAUUUUCUGAUAUGAUUUUUAAUUUAUUCCUCUAAUAUAAUAUUCUAUUACUCAGGUUUACUUUAGACAAAAACUACCUCCUUUGCUUACUAUUUUUAAAUGGUUAUUGAAGGAGUCAAUAGCCUGCAAAUAUGUGCAUUUCUUUGACCCAGAAACUUUGCUUCUAGGAAUUUGUAUUAAGGAAAUAAUUCAACCAGUAGGUAAAGAACUUGUAUAAGCCUGUUUAUUCUAGACCUGUUCCAUCUUAUUGAAAAAUUCAUACACAACCUAAAUGUCCAACAAUAAUGUUGAUUAAAUAAAUGUAAGUAUAUCCAUACAAUUAAAUGUUAUACAGCUAUUAAAAUUAAUGAUGUCAGCAGGGCACAGUGGCUCACGCCUGUAAUCCUAGCACUGCCGAGGCGGGCAGAUCAGUUGAGGUCAGGAGUUUGAGACCAGCCUGGCCAACAUGAUGAUGUUGGCUGGGCGCAGUGGCUCACGCCUGUAAUUCCAGCACUGCUGAGGCGGGCAGAUCACUUGAGGUCAGGAGUUUGAGACCAGCCUGGCCAACAUGGCGAAACCCCGUCUCUACUAAAAAUACAAAAAUUAGCCAGGCAUGAUAGCACAUGCUCGUAAUCCCAGCUACUCAGGAGGCUGAGGCAAGAGAAUUGCUUGAACCCGGGGGGCAGAGGUUGCAAUGAGCCAAGAUCACGCCACUGCACUCCAGCCUGGGUG